This is a long non-coding RNA of Bos taurus (domestic cattle), 921 nucleotides long. Lineage: Eukaryota; Metazoa; Chordata; Mammalia; Artiodactyla; Bovidae. The record is from Ensembl.
GGUCCAGCGCUGUCUAAAGUUCACUCAGCAAAUAGUCACUAAAUGCCCCCAUGUGGGGAACCAGCCCGGGCUCGGGGCAGCUGAUUUGGGGGGGGGCCUGGAGGGAAACUCUGAGCUGGGAGUCAGCACCGCUCACGUGAGUCAAUUGUCUCACCAUCCUGGGAUGAACAGAUCGAUAGAGCCACUCAGACAGAGAGAGAAGGAGGGUUACAUUCUGAGGGAGCAGAUGUUUAUUAAAUAUCCCUUGGAACUGCUCCAGGUGCUGGAGAUAAAUGAAAAAAUGAGCAAAGAUCUCUGCUCUGGGCAAGCUAUAUUCUAGCAUGGAAAGAUAACAACAAAAAAGAGAGAAAAAAAAUCAAAAAGUAAAAUAUGUCACAUUGUCAGUUGAUGAUAAAGUGCUAUGAAGUGUGAGUUUGACAGUCGAGCAUAGGAAGUACAGAAUACAGGACAGAGACUUGACAUCCGUGAACUUGACUGUAUGAUCAAGGUCAGCUUCACCAGUGGUGUGGCAUGUCAUCAUCUUGGGUUCUCUGAUAUGGAGUGACCAGAAAGGAGCAUUGCCUCGGUGGGAUCUUCCCCCAAACACGUCACCUCCUCACUCCGAUCAUGAGAAAACACCAUAUAGACCACAGCUGAGAGACCUUCAACAAAAUACCUGGCCAGCCCUACUCUUCAAAAAUGUCAAGGUCACACAAAGCAAGGAAAGCCUGAUGCUAUGGACCAAAGAGCCCCACUCCAGAGCUGACCAUCCACCACCUUUCCCCAAGGAAUGAGGUGGGGAUGAGAUGACCCCCACCUGGCAACAGCUACAGACACAAAAGUGUUUUGCCCAACUGAGAGAAUCCAGUGUGAGAGACCACAUGCCAUUCCUGAUGAUCAUUUUCCAUGAAGACAUAAAGAGUACUGACAAAAAAAAAAAAA